Non-coding RNA from Archocentrus centrarchus (flier cichlid), 540 nucleotides. NCBI's taxonomy places the organism in Eukaryota, Metazoa, Chordata, Actinopteri, Cichliformes, Cichlidae. The record is from the annotation of a RefSeq genome assembly.
CUUCUAAUCCACCAACUUAGUGUUGAUGAAGACUAAACAGAGAGAUCACAGCUUCUUUCUACUUGCUGUAGCUCACAGUUACUCUACACUGCAGAUAUGACGCCUCUGUUCAUCUCAGUGCUGCUGGCUGCUGUGUGCCUUGAAUGCAGAGCACAAAAAGACAACGUGCUGCAACCAAAAGGAGACGAGACUGCUGCUGAAGGAGACACAGUAACACUUGACUGUCAGUAUGAAACCAGUGGAACCAAUAAUUAUCUCUUCUGGUACAAACAGGAUGCAAACAUUAGCCCCAAAUUCAUCCUGAGCCGUGUUAGCGGGGAUGAAGGAAUCACACCAGAGGAGUUCAAGAACAGAUUUUCAUCCACACUGGAUUCUACCUCAAGAUCAGUUCCUCUGAAGAUCCAGAAGCUUCAGCUGUCUGACUCUGCUGUGUACUACUGUGCUCUGAGGCCCACAGUGACAGGAAACAGCAAAACUCUGUACAAAAACCUUUGGAGCAAAGACAACAGAAUACUCCACAACAUCCACUAGAGGGAGCCA